GGGCUUUUUGGACCCUUGAAACUGAGCUGUUUUCCUUCUGGCUGGUGGAGACUGGCUGGGAGAUCUGAGGAAGCCAGGAAUAUUACAAAGCAAGAAUAAAACAAGAAAAAACAGAAGUGGUGGAAUCCAUACCCUCAAGAGCUGGCAUUCAUAGAGAGGGAAUUCAACCACAUUGAGCCCAUUUUCCAGCAGCUGAAGCUCAGUUUUCUGUUGGAAGUACCAUCGCUCUUUUCCAAAGCUAGAUGAUUUUAGAACAAAGUCUGGAAUGUGCCCCAUCUGCUCAAGCUUUGAAGUCACUGGAACAUCAAUUACAACUGCAAAAGAUAUAAAAAGACACAAUGGAGAAGAACCUCCAACUUUACCUGAGGACAACACUAUGAUUUGUGUUCAACAGUGACAGCUUCCAGAUCAAGUCAACACUUCCUACCCACUCUCCUCUGAGGCAUCGCUAAGACCAGGAUUAGAUGACCUUCAAGAUCACAGCCAGGGGUUUCAUGUUCCUGGACCACAGGCCUGUGGUCUGCAACUGUCCUUCCUAAAAGAGUUUAGUCAGAAUGCGGCUAUAAAAAUACACAGCAGGGACUGUAGCCAGUGACUAUCAUGACAACUUGCGUGGCAUGAGUGCCCCAGCUUUCAGGGCAGUGGGGUGGAGAGUGGACACUGCAGGAAAACACCACUUUAAAUAUAAUAAUUUUGAUUAAUAAUUAAGUUGUUAUGGGAAAGGGAUUGUUUUGAUGGUUACAGACCUUCUCUAAAGGGGUUGGAUGUGAAGAGAGUACACAGCUGAAGCAUAACACUAAUAACAAGGGUAUGUCGGAUUGGUUGGUUAGAAGUGGAUUGUGCACAAUGGCCAGAAGAAUAAUUCUGUGAUCCACUUUUCUGUGAUGAUGAAGCUGAGACUCAAAGGUCUACCCAGCCCUUCUACAUUGUCUCACUGUUUGCCUGAGGCAGAAGACUACCUGGAGAAGAGAAGAUGCCUUUCCCUGGAAUCUGGAGAUUCCUCUCAUCCCCUCUGAUGUUCAGCAGAGAAAAUGACCUAGGGCACUCCCAGGGUUAAGCAGCCCCUCCUUCUACACACUCAUAACCCCCAACAGCAGGUCAGCAGUCUAACCAGAAAUUGUAGCGAUUUAAAGACAGCUGCAAAUCC
Chinchilla lanigera (long-tailed chinchilla) is the source of this 1147-nucleotide long non-coding RNA. The record is from Ensembl. Lineage: Eukaryota; Metazoa; Chordata; Mammalia; Rodentia; Chinchillidae.